This 2141-nucleotide long non-coding RNA is filed under the name Gossypium barbadense (sea-island cotton). RNAcentral's name for it is "long non-coding RNA (GBAR_LNC009164)". The record is from RNAcentral. Lineage: Eukaryota; Viridiplantae; Streptophyta; Magnoliopsida; Malvales; Malvaceae.
UAAAGCUAUCCAAUUUCAACAGUUAAAAUAAGUAUUACCUAUCUUAGUAAUACAUAUUAAAAACCAUCAAAAAUAAAUAAGCGGCCUUAUUACAUUUAAAAGCCCAAAACCUCAAACGUAAUUAAAAGGAUGUCCAGUUCACCAGAAGAAAAUCAAACUUUCAGAAUGGGUGGCCACUCCGAAUUCCCUCACAGCUCCAAGCCCACUAUGGUUGGGGAUUACCUGCGUGGAUGAAAAUAAAAGGGAUGAGUUUGGGGAAACUCAGUGUGUAAAAUAACCCAACCAUAGUCUAAAUCAGCUCAAACCACAGAAAUAAAAUAAGUUGGCCUUAACCCAGAACAGAAUUCAGAAUAAAGCCCAUAGGCCCAUAACAGAACAGAACAGAUAUUACAUGUUUAUGCAGAAACCCAACCAUAUCCAACCGUAUACACCCCCGUACCAACCUUACACCGUGUGGGGAGACAACUCGACCCACCCAACCGCUACACACCACAGAAUUUGCAGCAUGGCUGCCAGAACAGAUAAUGUGACAGAGUCACCAGAUACAGAUAAUCGUGGCAGAGCCACCAGAACAGAUAUAUGUGGCAGAGCCACCAGAUCAGAUAUUUGUGGCAUAGCCACCAGAACGCUUCCUCCAUAAUAUAACCCAUGUCCCCAUGCAACAAAUAUAUAAUCAUGGCAUCCAUCAUACAGAAUUAGAUCGCUAUGCUUUUCAGUCAAAAUUAACCCUACGGGUAUAACGGUAAUUUUGCACCUAGGGGUAUAAUAGUAAUUUUCCAUACAUAGGGGUAUUAUAGUAAUUUAGCUACUUUCAGGGUUUUCAUGCAUAUCCUAACUAUUUACGUACUAUCAGAACACUUACCGCGCAUACUUACCGAAUUGGGCCCAUUGGCCCAUGAACCCGAUCUUUGGCCCAUUAAGCCCAAAUUAUCAAAAUGUACGAAAUCGCGCGUACUGCAGUUUAUUACUUUAGAUUACCAAAUAUACAAACCCAACUAUUUUACGAGCAUUCGCACACUCGCAAAUUCCCAAAAUACCGACUUUUCGGCAUUUCGGCUUUUCGGCUUUUGCCAAUCUAGUCUAUGAGAGGGUGUCAGUUACACACCUAUUUGCGACGAUAUGCUGACGAGAUCCUCACACGAACCGCCUACAAUUGGAUUACUAACGUAUUAACCCCUUAAAAUAUUCGGCCAACCACACCUACAGAUCAUAGUAAGCUUAUAAGAAAUCAAUAAGCAACUCAUUAACAAAUUUUUGUCAAUGUUUACCACAUAAUCAUAAUUUCACUGCAAGCUGUCUUCCUGAGCAAUAGUCACUAAAUCAUUUAUAAUUGGAGCUACCAAACUCCAAAUCAAGUUCCGUUAAUUUUCCCUGAAAAUAGACUCAUAUAUCUUUUAUCCAUAAAAUUUUCAGAAUUUUUGGUAUGGCCAAUCAAUACCAGAUUUUUCUUAAAGUUUCCCAUGUUUCACUGUUUGACUAAUCUGACCACUCUUCAUUACAAAUCAAAUUUCUCAUUGUACAGAAUUCAAAAUAUGUUCUCGUUUAUUCAAUUUGAAACUAGACUCAUUAAGCUUUAAUUACAUAAUUUAUUCAGCUUCUAAUUCUUCUCCCACAAUUUAUGGUGAUUUUCCAAAGUCACGUUACUGCUGCUGUCCCAAGCAGAUUUAUCACCAAAUCACUCUUUCACACCUAACUUGCAUGCUUAUUAUUUAAACAUGUAUAUCACCAAUCAAUCAUCACAUAUCUAUGAUUUUACUUAAGUAUAAUCUCCAUUUCAUCAUUUUAAAGCACAACAUGUUAGCUGAUUUUUCCCUUUAACAUCUAAGGCACAUGCAUGCUUAUUUGUUUGGCUCAACUUCACCUAUCUUCCAUUUUUCAUCAAAAGAACAUGAAACAACAACCAUUUUCUUCAUUUUAAUUCAUGACUAAAUGCUCACAACACAACUAAAAAUCAAAAUAUACUUCAAGAGUUAAGGUAGAAUCAAGAAGAACUCAUGAACCUCAAAAUAGAAGCAAGGUACCAAGAACUUACCUUCAAUUUUCCUCCUCCUAAUGACCAAAUACUCAAGAGCUUUCUCCUCUCCUUUCUCUUCUCUAACUUUCAGCUAUGAUGAACAAAGAUGGACAAAACUUUGUUCUUU